CUACACACGUACUACAAUGGCCGGUACAAAGGGCAGCGACACAGCGAUGUGAAGCGAAUCCCGAAAAGCCGGUCUCAGUCCGGAUUUGGAGUCUGCAACUCGACUCCAUGAAGUUGGAAUCGCUAGUAAUCGCGGAUCAGCACGCCGCGGUGAAUACGUUCCCGGGCCUU
RNAcentral lists this ribosomal RNA (170 nucleotides) under uncultured Desulfocapsa sp. Its description in RNAcentral is "partial 16S ribosomal RNA". It matches the Rfam family "Bacterial small subunit ribosomal RNA", at positions 1214 to 1382 of the family's 1533-position model. The record is from RNAcentral. Lineage: Bacteria; Pseudomonadati; Thermodesulfobacteriota; Desulfobulbia; Desulfobulbales; Desulfocapsaceae.